Molecule: ribosomal RNA, 423 nt
Filed under: uncultured cyanobacterium
Lineage: Bacteria; Bacillati; Cyanobacteriota
Description: bacterial SSU rRNA
Rfam family: Bacterial small subunit ribosomal RNA
Source: RNAcentral
GAAUUUUCCGCAAUGGGCGAAAGCCUGACGGAGCAAUACCGCGUGAGGGAAGACGGCCUAUGGGUUGUAAACCUCUUUUCUCGGGGAGGAACUCAAUGACGUGUACCUGAGGAAUAAGCAUCGGCUAACUCCGUGCCAGCAGCCGCGGUAAGACGGAGGAUGCAAGUGUUAUCCGGAAUCACUGGGCGUAAAGCGUCUGUAGGUGGUUUAGUAAGUCAACUGUUAAAUCUUGAGGCUCAACUUCAAAAUCGCAGUCGAAACUAUUAGACUAGAGUAUAGUAGGGGUAAAGGGAAUUUCCAGUGGAGCGGUGAAAUGCGUAGAUAUUGGAAAGAACACCGAUGGCGAAGGCACUUUACUGGGCUAUUACUAACACUCAGAGACGAAAGCUAGGGUAGCAAAUGGGAUUAGAUACCCCAGUAGUC